RNAcentral lists this ribosomal RNA (852 nucleotides) under uncultured bacterium. Its description in RNAcentral is "bacterial SSU rRNA". It matches the Rfam family "Bacterial small subunit ribosomal RNA", at positions 10 to 860 of the family's 1533-position model. The record is from RNAcentral.
AGUUUGUUCCUGGUUCAGGAUGAACGCUGGCGGGCGUGCUUAACACAUGCAAUUCGAAACGAAUGAACUCAAACGGAUUUCUUCGGGAAUGAAGUUUGGAUGAUUUUAGUGGCGAACGGGGUGAGUAACACGUGAGAAACCUGCCUUUCACAGAGGGAUAGCCGUUGGAAACGACGAUUAAUACCUCAUGACAUCAAGAUACCGCAUGGUAAUUUGAUUAAAGAUUUAUCGGUGAAAGAUGGUCUCGCGUCUGAUUAGCUAGUUGGUAAGGUAGUGGCUUACCAAGGCGACGAUCAGUAGCCGGCCUGAGAGGGUGAACGGCCACACUGGAACUGAGACACGGUCCAGACUCCUACGGGAGGCAGCAGUGGGGAAUUUUGCACAAUGGGGGAAACCCUGAUGCAGCGACGUCGCGUGAACGAUGAAGGCCUUCGGGUUGUAAAGUUCUGUCCUUGGCGAAGAUAAUGACAGUAGCCAAGAAGCAAGCCCCGGCUAAAUACGUGCCAGCAGCCGCGGUAAUACGUAUGGGGCGAGCGUUGUCCGGAAUUAUUGGGCGUAAAGGGUACGUAGGCGGUUAUGUGGGUCCGUAUUAAAAGGCAUUGGCUCAACCAAUGUUCGGUAUGGAAACUGCAUAACUUGAGUAGAUGAGGGGUAAGUGGAAUUCCUAGUGUAGCGGUGAAAUGCUUAGAUAUUAGGAGGAAUACCAGUGGCGAAGGCGACUUACUGGAAUCUAACUGACGCUGAGGUACGAAAGCGUGGGGAGCAAACAGGAUUAGAUACCCUGGUAGUCCACGCUGUAAACGAUGAGUGCUAGGUGUCGGGAGUCAAAUCUCGGCGCCGCCGCUAACGCAU